Molecule: long non-coding RNA, 1920 nt
Organism: Odontomachus brunneus
Lineage: Eukaryota; Metazoa; Arthropoda; Insecta; Hymenoptera; Formicidae
Exons: 4
Source: RefSeq, a predicted model, not a curated record
CUUCCUGACAGAAUGUUCUGUUGACAAAAUGGACGUUACAUCGAAACAAAUAAGUGGUGCUCUCUGCGAAAGAGGCAGAAUAUAUUCUCUGUGCGAUGUAUCGCUUGUAGAUCAAACGAGCACCUGUUUACAAACAGGUGUUGACACAAUCGUAAAGGCGAGCCGGCGGAAAGGAAACUUACGGUCUCUCACUAGAAAUGUUGGAGACUUUCUGUAUUUUUUUUAAGAGCCGAAGAAGUCUUGGAAAGCUGCAAGUUCGCUGGUCUUGACGAUAUUCGCGAAGUGAGAUACGAGUGCAUUUCAGUUGAUGUACUUUUCCAUCUGGUACAUGUCGACUAGCAGACGCGAAAUCGGUAUUUCCCCGAUGGUUUCAUGAAAGAACAAACGCUCGACAGUCUUGGAGGAGACGCACCUGAGAUAUCCGACUAGUAUCAUUAGCCUUCCGAUUCUUCCCGGUUGUUGCGGAUAUCGUGAUCUCGUGUAAUCCACCAAGAUGCGUUGCGCUUGAUCCUGCAGUAUUUCAAUGGGCUGAACUGCGUGCAGCCCCACAGUUUCUGCGGUUUAAUAAAGAAUAUAUAAAACAACGGCGUAUUGAAGCAAGUUUGAGCUCGGAAGAAAAUCCACGAGGAUCGCCGCAAUUCAUCGCGAGCGAAGGGUAACUGCUAGUGAACCUGAAUAAGAACGAGUUCCUGAUUCGUCGGGCUGUCGUCCGCAGGAAGUCUGCUGCGCACUUGUUCGUCCUCGAGGAGCGCAGUGAUGUCCCAAGAGAUAGACCAUUGCGCCAAGUGCAGGAGAAAUAGUUGCGUCCACGAUCGUUCCAGCAGCAACAGCUGGUCAUCUUUUGAUAUCGUCUGGAAGGGUGGUAGACAUCGCACCCAUCUAACAGCCAUGAAUAACAGUCGAGCUGUUGUUUCCUGUGUUAUCAUCAACAUUUACGUGUACGUGUAAAUGGAUCAAGUAUCGUGAAAAGGACACAAUCGCAAUGGAACGCUGAAAGCUACCUGCAGCAUUUCCCAGGUCGGGCUGAGACUCUGUAUUGUGCCCGUCGGACUGUGACUCGCUUCCGUUUCUAUCUGUUCUAUCGGAUACUCCGUCGUGGGUUGCAACCGUGCAUUCCAAACCAGUUCCUUGCAGUGAAAUGAGAAAGAAGUGGGUUAAAUCGUCGCUGCAACAAACCCUUGAAUUUCUCGCGUGUCAGUGGCUUAAGACGAGCGAUUUUCGAGUACGUGCGUGUCCGGACGGCGAAUGGACGCUGCGGGGAUUAGAAUCGCAUGCGCUGGAAUGGACCGCGCCCUGUUCCCUUUUCAUCUCGUGAUUCCUCUCUUUCUUUCUCCCUUUCUCUGCCACCCUCUCACUUGUGAACGUGCACACACAUACUCCUACACCAAUCUUAUCGCACACCUAUAAACACAGGCUACUGUAAUACUCGACCGGCACGUGUGGUCCACAAUGCGAGUUCCCACAGUGGAGAGACGUAGGCGUAGACCUUCUCGACACGUUUAACACACGCAUGCACACUACACACACAUACACACGCGUGCAUAUACAUGUACACGUGUGCAUGUUCAUUGACUGAUUCACGAACGCGAGCGAAUGUGAUACAACGCACGGGGAAGUUCCCGUUUUAACGUUGUAUUACAUGCUUACGUUGUGUGUGAUGCGUAUGCGCGCAUGUGUAUGGGGCACACACGGUGUUCACACGGGCCACGGAUCAUGGGGCUCACACUCUCUAUCCUGCUAAACGGUAAACCGAUCUGUGAACAUUUCAGCAGUCAGCGAUCUCGAAGGCUAAUCCCCGAGCAAGUGGGGUUGAUACACAUGGACGGCACUACCACCAUCACCGAGAUCACCAUCACCGCCAACGCUAUCACCGACACACCGACGAUCGUCAACGUCAUUGCCGUCGUAGGAGAAUGGGGU